Leptinotarsa decemlineata (Colorado potato beetle) is the source of this 943-nucleotide long non-coding RNA. RefSeq lists it as uncharacterized. The record is from RefSeq and is a predicted model, not a curated record. NCBI's taxonomy places the organism in Eukaryota, Metazoa, Arthropoda, Insecta, Coleoptera, Chrysomelidae.
UAACAGUACAUCCUUGAAAAAAUUCCUAUAAAAUGUUGCGAUUUAAGAAAUAUUGUUUUGAACCUACAUCACUUGCGCUAUGAGCGUUUUUCUCAAGCCUGCUAAUAAUAUACACAUUCUAUGAAGAGUAAAUCUCUUAUACUGCUACUCCCACUUCUAGCUGACUUCGUGGAUAUGCGUGGGCAUGUGCAAUAUUUAGUGUGAAUUAAUAUCAGAUAUCGCGCACCUUUUAAUCAUCUGCAGGCCUCCGUGAGAGUGUCUCUCAUUACUCGAGUUCUAACGUAGUAUAUUAUUCUUUCUGAUUGCGGCUUGUUUUGAUUGUAUACAAUGAGUAGAAGUCGGAUGCUUGCAGUAUAAGGGCGAUUUCAAUAGGAAGAGAGUCGAAGCUAAUUCACCAUGGACGGGUCAAGAAGACAGGCAAAAUCAAUAAAUUAUGGAAGAUGAUGAAUGUCAAGAUAUUGAAAGGGAUGCUGCCAGAAAAUACAGUGAACAGUCAUCAAGAGUUUGACAAAAAUCUUUUUAGUAGCUCUGUAAAUCAUUUUAUCAUACAUAUGUCUGAUACUUGUGACACACUAUUUGGAACCUUUAGUGUAGUAAUGAAUAUUACUAAAGUUUAGUCCCAACACCAAACCGUUAUCUGUUUAAUUUUCCUCUUGAAGAUGAUCACUAGGUGAUUGAAACGCGUGUGGAGGUGUUAGAAACAACGGUUUGUUGUUGGGACUAAACUCCAGUAGUAUUCAUAUGUCAGAUUUUUUUUUGAUAAUUUGUAUCUUUUAGCGUAUGUUUACCUAAAUAGUUUGUAUCUAGAUUUAAAUUCGAAAGAUAUAUACUCGUUAUUUUUUUUUCUUGUGUUCAUAUUGUUGCACAAGUUUAUUUUUGUUGUAUACACUAUUCUGGCAGUUUUAUUUAGUAUUCGUAUCAUAAAAUAAACCCUUCCACAUUA